Cinara cedri is the source of this 431-nucleotide non-coding RNA. Lineage: Eukaryota; Metazoa; Arthropoda; Insecta; Hemiptera; Aphididae. The record is from the annotation of a GenBank genome assembly.
UGUAAAUAAUAUAUUUUGUACAUUUUCCCAUUUUCCCUACGUUUUUUCCUGGUUUUUCCAUGUUUAUGACUCCCUUAAAGUAUCUUAAAUUACUACCCCAGUGAGAUUUCCUUCCAGAAAAAAUGUCACACUUGAAAAUCGGAGGAGCAAAAUUAAUUGUAGAAAAGUUGUUCACAGGAAACAAAAAACAUCAUUGUAAAACCAAUACAUUUACUUCACUCGGAAUCUAAAAACAGAUAACGACAAAUAUUUUUCGAGUGGUUAAGAGGGCAUUAUACGCUCAUCUACCGUCUCAGUUCAUCUACAAGGUAACAUGUAAAAAAAAAUGCUUACGCAAAAUAAGUAAAACUAACUCAAUUUUGAUUUUAGAGUAAAAGUACCUAUUAUGAAAUGUAUAGAAAGCAAUAUUUUGGAGGGAAUAUCAUGGAUGU